This 76-nucleotide transfer RNA is filed under the name Caudoviricetes sp. Its description in RNAcentral is "tRNA-Thr". It matches the Rfam family "tRNA". From Rfam's summary of the family: Transfer RNA (tRNA) molecules are approximately 80 nucleotides in length. Their secondary structure includes four short double-helical elements and three loops (D, anti-codon, and T loops). Further hydrogen bonds mediate the characteristic L-shaped molecular structure. tRNAs have two regions of fundamental functional importance: the anti-codon, which is responsible for specific mRNA codon recognition, and the 3' end, to which the tRNAs corresponding amino acid is attached (by aminoacyl-tRNA synthetases). tRNAs cope with the degeneracy of the genetic code in two manners: having more than one tRNA (with a specific anti-codon) for a particular amino acid; and 'wobble' base-pairing, i.e. permitting non-standard base-pairing at the 3rd anti-codon position. Lineage: Duplodnaviria; Heunggongvirae; Uroviricota; Caudoviricetes. The record is from RNAcentral.
GCUGCUGUAACUCAAUGGGUAGAGUAACGGUUUUGUAAACCGUAUGUUGGAGGUUCAAGCCCUCUCAGUAGCUCCA